Molecule: transfer-messenger RNA, 332 nt
Filed under: Clostridium taeniosporum
Lineage: Bacteria; Bacillati; Bacillota; Clostridia; Eubacteriales; Clostridiaceae
Rfam family: transfer-messenger RNA
About the family: Bacterial tmRNA, also known as 10Sa RNA or SsrA, is named for its dual tRNA and mRNA-like properties.
Source: Rfam by way of RNAcentral
UUUGGCUUCGACGGGGGUAAGAGGAGUUUGAUAAGCGAGUCGAGGCAGCAUGUCACCUCGUUAAUCAAGUAUGCAAAAAGAUAAACGCAGAAGACAAUUUUGCAUUAGCAGCCUAAUUUAGCGCUGCUCAUCAGCCCGGGGUGCCCACGCUUCGGAUCACUGGUGUCAUUAAAGUGGGAAACGAAGUUUAGCAAAGCUUUGAGCUAAAGGGGUAUUUAUGAAGCUAGUGAUUAGGUUGCCUGUCUAUAGGCGUUCCUAUGAGCGAAUUUUAAUAUAUAGACUACACUCGUAGAAAGUCAGAUGCAUCUACUUUCGGACAGGGGUUCGAUUUG